RNAcentral lists this unclassified non-coding RNA (339 nucleotides) under soil metagenome. Its description in RNAcentral is "partial contains 5.8S ribosomal RNA, internal transcribed spacer 2, and large subunit ribosomal RNA". The stretch from base 1 to 120 matches the Rfam family "5.8S ribosomal RNA", at positions 35 to 154 of the family's 154-position model. The record is from RNAcentral.
GAUGAAGAACGUAGCGAAAUGCGAUACGUAGUGUGAAUUGCAGAAUUCAGUGAAUCAUCGAAUCUUUGAACGCACAUUGCACCUCUCGGUAUUCCGGGAGGUAUGCCUGUUCGAGCGUCAUUUGUACCCUCAAGCUCUGCUUGGUGUUGGGUGUUUGUUCCGCCUCUGUGUGUGAACUCGCCUCAAAACAAUUGGCAGCCGGCAUACUUGUUUCGGAGCGCAGCACAUUUUGCGAUCCAGAUCAACGUACAGCGGCAUCCAAGAAGCCUUAUUUAACGCUCUUGACCUCGGAUCAGGUAGGGAUACCCGCUGAACUUAAGCAUAUCAAUAAGCGGAGGA